Long non-coding RNA from Piliocolobus tephrosceles (Ugandan red Colobus), 2093 nucleotides. The record is from Ensembl. Lineage: Eukaryota; Metazoa; Chordata; Mammalia; Primates; Cercopithecidae.
AUUAAAAUAAAUACAACUAUAUAACGUAAAUAUAUACUUGUUUGUACAAAAUAUAAUAACAUUGUUUAUGUUUUUUUCUGAAUUGUGACAUAUAACUUUUUUUCAUUACUUUUUUAACCAUUUUUUUUUAUAUACUCGUUAUAUGUACUUUUUUACUUAUUUAUUUAUUUUUUUUUUUUUUAAUUCUCUGUUUUCAUAUAUAUACAAUAUAUAGUCACUAAGAAAAAAAAAAAGUUAUCAGAUGCUGACGCAAAAAAAAGGUUACCCUGUAUAUAUGUUCAAACUAGUACAUCGUACUUAUUAAUUUUACUCUAAAUUUGGACUAUCUCCCAAUCUAACUAUCACGUAAACGAACUAACACAAACCGAGCAAGAUGGUAAAAAUAAAAAAAACAAGCAAGAGGGUCUCACUAAAACAAAAAUAUGCAGUUGAAAAAAAAGUUUCAGCUCAUAAAAAAAAGUUAAAAAAGAUAAUUAAAAAAACAAAUAUCCAUAAUCGUAGAUCAAAUAAAAAAUCUCUACAAAUUCCAAACUGUGUAUUUAAAAAGGAUAUAUUAAUAAACAUAAAAACUACGUCUUUAAUGAAAAAAGAAAAAAAAAAAAAAAAUAAACUUCAAAAUGAUAAAAAUAAGGAAAGUGAAGAAGACUAUAGAGAAAUUCAAAUGGACAGUAUAGAUCAACUGUCGAUAAAAAAAAUGAAAGUCGAAUUAGAUAUACUAACAAAUGGAGAAAAUAAUAAAAAGCAUGAGUCAAGUAUUUCGACAACGGAAAUGCAUAACUUGACUAUUAACAAAUAUAUAGAGCUACCUGUUAAUUUAAAAAUGGAAAUAUUUGAAAAAGUAAAAAAAGAAAAAUAUACAGAGCUGAAUGAAAAAUAUUUAUAUAUUAAUGAUUUAUUACAAGUUAUACAAUAUUCAGACAUUCUUUUUUAUAUUAUUGAUGUUAGAAAUCCGUUAAUAUAUAUGGAUAAAGAUAUACUUGAGUUUAUUCAUUCAUGUAAGAAAGAAAUUAUAAUUAUAUUAAAUAAAUGCGAUUUAGUAAACCAAACUGUAAUAGAACAAUGGUUAUUAUUCUUUCGUUUUUAUUAUAUAACUAUACCUUUUGUGUGCUCUGAAAAAAAUAAACCAAUAUAUUUAUACAAAAAACAAAACAAAACUAAUAUGUUACAAAAUAAAAAAAAACGACUCACAUACGAUGAAAAUAAUAAUAACAAUGAUAGUGAUGACGAUAACAAAUAUAAUGAGCAAAAAAAAUACACUUUAAUAAAAAAAUAUAUAACAAAAUUAUUCCCUACAAAUGUGGAUGUUACUUAUGGUGUUAUAGGACAUAUAUAUACAGGAAGGACAAGUUUUUUAAAUACAUUAUUAAAAGAAUUUAAUUAUACUUUUAAUGAUAAUAAAAAUACAAAGCUUGGCUUAAAUGUUUAUAAGCGUAUUCAUAUUUUUUCGAAAACUGGGUUAAUGUUAAAAAGAAAUAUAAACGGUUUAGAGUUAAUUAAAAAAAUACAUUUUGCCAAUUUAUUAGAAAAGGCAACUUUUUUAUCUGAAUUUCUAAUCAUUUUGGAUGAUCUUAGUUUUUUGAACUUUAUGAAAUUUUUAGAUGAACCAGAAAUAAUUCAAACAUAUCAAAAUAAUAUUACCGAACAUAUGAAUGAUAUACAAAAACAAGAAAUAAAAAAAAAAAUUAUUUAUGAUUUCUUUAUAAAAAAACAAAACGAACACAUGAAUAUUUCCAUUACUAAUAUUAACAGUGCAAAAGUUAACAAAUUAUACAAACAAUUUUUUUCAAAUAAAAUACCAUAUUAUAUAGUGCCUGCAACGAAAAUAGUAUAUCCAAAUAAGGAUGUUACUACUACUAAUGGCACUGGAGCUACUACCAAUGACAAUUUUUUCGAAGUGAAAGAAGAACUAUACAAAGAAAUUGAUAAGAUUAUUAUUUCUCAAAAAACUAAAUUUACUAAUUUUAUAGCUAUACAAAAUGACAUGUUUAAUUUUUACAACUAAUUAUUACAAACUUAUAAUUUAACUCUUAUUGCUCUUUCAGUACUCGUUGUUUUUUUUUAGCUUGGCAUGCAGAUAGGUAUGUAAGCACAUA